RNAcentral lists this long non-coding RNA (1809 nucleotides) under Triticum aestivum (bread wheat). RNAcentral's name for it is "long non-coding RNA (TAES_LNC013603)". The record is from RNAcentral. Lineage: Eukaryota; Viridiplantae; Streptophyta; Magnoliopsida; Poales; Poaceae.
AUAUUAUAUUCACAUGUUAAAAUGUUUACAUAUUUAAAAAAAAUCAUAGAUUUAGAAAAAAUAUUGUACGCAUAUAAAUAAAUACACAUCACAUGUUUCUUAAAUCUAUACAAAAAUAUAUCCAUGCAUUAAAAAGAUUACGCGUGUUUGAGAAAAAUCAAAGUUUUAAAAAGUUGUCCAAACAUGUAUGAAUAUGCGUCCAUAUAGUGUGAAACAAUGUUCAAUUCCAAAAUGAGGUAAAAACAUAAAUCAAAGAAAAGAAGUAAAAAAAGGUGAAAUUUGCAUUAAAAAAAGAAAGGAAGAAAAGGAAAAUAAAAGGACGAACUAAAAACAGGAAGGAAACGAAAAACAAAAGAAAGAAUGAGUGACACGAGAAACCUCCUAUGUGAGCCAGCUCACUAUCACGGCCCAAAUGAGAUUGCUAUUUUAUUAAUUUUUGUAAGAAAUAUUUUUCAAUAACAUGUUAUUAAAAUAUUAUUAGAGUAACUUUGAAUAUUAAAAAUUAUCACAUAAAUUAGAAAUGUCACCUAUGUACAUAUAGAGGUUCGUAAUUAUUUGAAAAUGUUUGUGUAUACAAAACAAUUAUAUUCACGUAUUUAAAAUUUACAUAUUUUUCAAAAAACAUGGAUAUAGAAAAGGUUCAUAUGUAUAUAACUAACUAUACAUCACAAAAAAAAAUAUACCAAAAAUAUUCAUGCGUUAAAAACUAUUAGAUAUGUUCUAGAAAAUUCAGCAUUUUUUAAAAGUUAUGCAUAUAUGUUUCAUAUAGUGUGAAGUAAAGUUCAAGUCCAAAACGAAGUCUAAAACAUAAAUCAAAGAAAGGAAGUAGAGAGGUGAAAUUUGCAUUAAAAGAUGAAAGGUAGAAAACAAAGAAAGAAAAUGACCAACUGAAAACGGGAAAAAGAGGGAAAACACACACAAAAACCAGCUAAACUGGGAAUGGGCCGGCCGAGGCAUGCGUAACGUUAGAGUUUGAUCAUUUUUUUUGCACAAAAAAAGUAGUUGAACGUAGCAUACAAGAUGCAACACAAUCUUAGGAUGCCCGUCGAUAGCAAUGCCACAUUCUAUAUCAACAGCCGUGGUGCCUUAUUGACACAUAUGGAAGAUUAAUAUCCCACCGAAGAUCAAAAAUUUCUUGGAUGACACGAGAGACUCGAAGCAGAGUGACACGAGACAUAAUGGAUUUAGGAGGCUCGAACCAGAGCGACACGAGAGACCUCCUAUGUGGGUCCGCUCACUAGCAUGACCCAAAUGACAUCACUCUUUUAUUAAUUUGUUCUAUUUCUCAUUUAUGUAAUUAUUUGUUUCAAAAUCAUUUUAUUAAAAUAUUGUCAGAGUAACUUUGAAUAUAAUAAAAAUCAUUACGUAAAUUAUAGAAGGCCACGUAUGUGCAUAUAAAUGUUAUAAUGUAUUGAAAAUGUUGUAUUUACACAAUAUUAUAUUCACAUGUUAAAAGGUUUACAUAUUUUUCAAAAAAAUCAUAGAUUUAGAAAAAAUAUUGUACGCAUAUAAAUAAAUACACAUCACAUGUUUCUUAAAUCUAUACAAAAAAUAUAUCCAUGCAUUAAAAAGAUUACGCGUGUUUGAGAAAAAUCAAAGUUUUAAAAAGUUGUCCAAACAUGUAUGCAUAUGCGUCCAUAUAGUGUGAAACAAUGUUCAAUUCCAAAAUGAGGUAAAAACAUAAAUCAAAGAAAAUAAGUAAAAAGGUGAAAUUUGCAUUAAAAAAAGAAAGGAAGAAAAGGAAAAUGAAAGGACGAACUGAAAACAGGAAGAAAACGAAAAUAAAAAGAAAGAAUGAGUGACACGAGA